RNAcentral lists this ribosomal RNA (407 nucleotides) under uncultured bacterium. RNAcentral's name for it is "partial 16S ribosomal RNA". It matches the Rfam family "Bacterial small subunit ribosomal RNA", at positions 30 to 526 of the family's 1533-position model. The record is from RNAcentral.
AUUGAACGCUGGCGGCAGGCCUAACACAUGCAAGUCGAGCGGAUCGCCGGACGGGUGCGUAAUGCCUAGGAAUCUGGCUGGUCGUGGGGGAUAACGUUCGGAAAUGGGCACUAAUACUGCUAACUAUCAGAUGAGACUAGGUCGGAUUAGCUAGGUGGUGGGGUAAAGGCCUACCAAGGCGACGAUCCGUAACUGGUCUGAGAGGAUGAUCAGUCACACUGGGACUGAGACACGGUCCAGACUCCUACGGGAGGCAGCAGUGGGGAAUAUUGGACAAUGGGCGAAAGCCUGAUGCAGCCAUGCCGCGUGUGUGAAGAAGGUCUUCGGAUUGUAAAGCACUUUAAGUUGGGAGGCGUUACCGACAGAAUAAGCACCGGCUAACUCCGUGCCAGCAGCCGCGGUAAUAC